This 122-nucleotide transfer RNA is filed under the name Siphoviridae sp. ctJe739. RNAcentral's name for it is "tRNA-OTHER". It matches the Rfam family "tRNA". Rfam says of the family: Transfer RNA (tRNA) molecules are approximately 80 nucleotides in length. Their secondary structure includes four short double-helical elements and three loops (D, anti-codon, and T loops). Lineage: Duplodnaviria; Heunggongvirae; Uroviricota; Caudoviricetes. The record is from RNAcentral. RNAcentral also lists the same sequence under 1 other name.
GGUGGUAUGUCGGAAUGGUAAACGAUACAUUGCGGUAGAUAGUACUGAAUAGGACGCUGAGGAAGCUAACAACAGCUCAGUCGCUAAACCUAUCAUUGCAGGUUCAAGUCCUGCUACCACCA